GCGAGAGUGGCGGAAUCGGCAGACGCGCACGUUUGAGGGGCGUGUGUUAACAACGUACGGGUUCAAGUCCCGUCUCUCGCACCA
RNAcentral lists this transfer RNA (84 nucleotides) under Clostridiales bacterium. Its description in RNAcentral is "tRNA-Leu". It matches the Rfam family "tRNA". From Rfam's summary of the family: Transfer RNA (tRNA) molecules are approximately 80 nucleotides in length. Their secondary structure includes four short double-helical elements and three loops (D, anti-codon, and T loops). Lineage: Bacteria; Bacillati; Bacillota; Clostridia; Eubacteriales. The record is from RNAcentral.